GAUGAAGAACGUAGCGAAAUGCGAUAAGUAAUGUGAAUUGCAGAAUUCAGUGAAUCAUCGAGUCUUUGAACGCACAUUGCGCCCCCUGGUAUUCCGGGGGGCAUGCCUGUCCGAGCGUCAUUGCUGCCCUCAAGCACGGCUUGUGUGUUGGGCCGUCGUCCCCGUCCUAGGGGACGGGCCCGAAAGGCAGCGGCGGCACCGCGUCCGGUCCUCGAGCGUAUGGGGCUUCGUCACCCGCUCCGUAGGCCCGGCCGGCGCUUGCCGACGACCAUCAAUCUCUUUCUCCAGGUUGACCUCGGAUCAGGUAGGGAUACCCGCUGAACUUAAGCAUAUCAAUAAGCGGAGGA
RNAcentral lists this unclassified non-coding RNA (347 nucleotides) under soil metagenome. Its description in RNAcentral is "partial contains 5.8S ribosomal RNA, internal transcribed spacer 2, and large subunit ribosomal RNA". The stretch from base 1 to 120 matches the Rfam family "5.8S ribosomal RNA", at positions 35 to 154 of the family's 154-position model. The record is from RNAcentral.